CUUCAAUUUUGCUAUGUUUGUUGUCAGGCCUGCACAUGCAUGUUUUGUUUAUGGGUACAAUCCUGCAAAAAAGAACUGACUAGUGAUUGAUUAGGUAUAUUGUAUUAAAGUAAAUGGCACAAUGCACAAAAUUAAAGUAACACAUUUGAUGUUAAAUUUACUCUAGUCUAUAGACAACACAUUUUAACAUAUUUCCAAAUUAGCUAUAAAUUGGUAAAGGCAGAUUAUGGUUAAGAUUAUGAAAGCAUUUUUUUAGACUUGGAGGUUUGUUAAGUGAUUAUUUUCUUUCUUUUAAUUGUAUGAAGACAAUAAUGUUUGCAGUGUUUGCUGAAAGUGAGUUUUAAAGGGGUCAUGACAUGUGAUUAUUUUAUUAUGUCCUCUGAGGUGUAGCUUACUUAUUAAGAUUUUUAAAUGGAAAAUGUAAGUAAUUAUAACCUUUUCCCACUGUGUUUUUCAUCCCCUGAUUGAAACCGAUUUGCGUGUUCGGCCUGGCUCUGUGUCCCGCCCCUUUCUAUGAUUGACAGACUUCAUGCUUAAAUGCUUUCGUUAUUGAUAAGAACGGAGUUUUAAACAAUGAAACUUGACAGAUGUAUAAAUGAUACCAAGACCUUUUAUAUGUCAAUAUAUGAAGACAAAAUUGAUUCCUAAUGUCAUGACCCCUUUAAAAAUAGUUAAAAGGGUAGAAAAACUAGUUUAAGCUGUCAUUUAUAAAGGAAAUUGAUGUAGGAGGUGAUGAGAAGACAAGACAAGUACCAUCUUGUAGAUGUAUUAUGAUAUAGUCAAGGGCAAACAGGAUAAAGAACAGGAUGGUCCCUUUUAUAAACAAGAUGUGAAUGUGUUGGGCUGGACUCAAAUGGGAUCUUUCAUAUGAAGAUGCAGUGUUAUGGUAUGCAGGGGUGAAAAGAAAAACUAUCUGUGCCUAACCUUAAUAUAUAUGCUUUUGUAAUACUGUAAAUUAUUUGUUUCUAAAUUGUGUUAUUUCUUACAAUUACAUCAUUUCUUUACAAUCUAUCACCCAUGCAUAGCCAUGCAAAAGUGUUUUAUUUCCGUGUGACACUGAGAUGCUUGAAUAUUCAAUGUAAGUAAAUAUAUACUGGUUAUACAACAGUAUCAUGCUUGAAUUCUUUCAUAUGAAAAAUAUUUUGUUUAAUUACAGUAAUAGCAAUUUGUUGUGUAUGGAAGUAGACUGAAGACGUAUGGCAUAUGCAGUAACAGACAUCACAUAUCACAUAGAGUAAGUGUUUGCCAAAGACUUGCCAAAACCAGUAUAUCAAUAGUGAAGAUUAUUGACAUGAUAUUCAAGCAUUUCUCAGUCCUUAAGGAACCUUGUUUUGAAUAUUUGUACAUAAUCGUAUAAUGUCUUAUGUUGUUUGAACAAUUAGAUAUGUGUAGCCUCUGACCUCCUUUUAUUUUUUACCCUUGUAGUUGGAGUCACCAAGUGUAAAUUGCAUUUUAAAAUCCAUUACAAUUAAGAAUGUAAUUGGUUAUUCAAUUGUCACAAAGUCAAACUUUAGAUUUAUAUGGAUAUGGAUGUAGUAUUUGGAAAUCUAUUGCCUAAAUUUGCCUAAAUGAUAAAAAUGCUCACACUUGGACUCCAAACUAAAGGAUUCAGAAUAAUGUUGUAUGGAUGUGCUUCUCUCAUGAUACGUGGAGGACAUGUUACAAGUGGAGUGAUCAUGUCAAGAAGCAAAUCAUCUGUGUUUUUCUUCUGACCUUAUUCCUGAACUAACAACCUUUAAGCAGAAUUCACACUGUAAAUGAAAUAUCCUGAUAUAACCUGUUUAAUUGAAUGAAAUGUAGUUGCAUACACAGUCCUCUCAUCUAAUAUGAUGUUUUAUAAAUGUAACAAGAAGAGAACAUUUGCCCACAUUUAUAUCCACAUGCAAUUUGUUCUUAAGCUUCAAAAAGCGAAUAAAUUGCCUUUUAUUUUGCAUUUCUGUAGGCUAGCACAACAAAACCUAAAAAAAAAUGCAUGCAACUAUACAAUAUACAGGUGCUGCUAUAUAAUUCUAUAAUUAUACAGUAAAGUAUUUAAAUUACAGCUAAUGCUUUGUACCAUUGCACUUUUAAAGAGUGGUUUAUUUUUCGGCAAACUGCAGUAAUGCCACAGUAAAAAAUUUAAAGAUGAAAAGCAGCAUUAGUCAACAUCCGAUUUUGAGUGGAAUGCAUCUAAAAAGGUUUCUUUGGACUAUGGUCCAUCAUGUACCCACCCUGUGUCCACCCUUCAUCCUCCCAGCUGUAGUUCUGUAGACAGCUGUUGUUCUGUGUGAAUGUGGUUUAAUUCCAGUUGAAAGUGAGAAUCCUUAUGCCCUAUUCCCGCUGAAGGGCAGAGCACUCGAAGCAUUUUCCUUUCAUAUUCGGCCAUUUGGUACACAAAGACAUUACUGUUACUUUUAUUAAUUAAGAAAACUUAUGCCAAUACACUCUAAAAAUGCUGCAGCGUUGCAUCAAAAAGGGACGAACCCAGCCUGUUUGGUUGUAAUUUAACCUAUGCUGGGUUGAUUUAACCCAUUGCUGAAUCAAACAUAAACAUUUUCUGGGUUAAUCUAACCCAUCGGUAGUGUUGGGUGAUAUGCCCAAUUUUGAGAUCGUCAGCCUGUGAGAUUGGCGAUACACGAUAGUAUUCAUUUUUUACUCGUUAUGACAAGACACUUGAUUGGUGGACAAAAAAGAACAAGAGCAACACUGUCAUGACCGCAACCUUCUUAAAACUAAUGGCAUUAUUCAGAGUAUUUUUAUUUAUUAUUAAUGACUGUAAAAACAUGCACCUGCGCACACACACGCGCGCGCACAUACAAACAAUUCAAUGCAUUUGUUUAGUGCUGUUGCAGAAGGCUACAUGUGUCAAGCAGUUCUCAGCUUUUUAAACACAUCGGUCCAGCGGAAUGCUUUUUAUAUUUUUAACACAAUAAUAUUUUAAACAUGAGGGGUGUAUUGCUACAACUCCUUGAAAUGCAUAUCAUAAACAGGAUUACUACCUAAUGAUCUGACGUUGGACAGAGCGCAGCUCUCUGCACGUACGCGAGAGUGAGAGAGGGAUAGUUUGCCUCUGCUCGCAUGAAAUGCAUUAAACUGAACAAAUACAUAAGGAUUACUACUUUAGUUUAUGUUUAGACUUCGGACAGAUGCGAGAGCGAGUGCAUGUGAAACAGAGAGAAGCGCAGCUGCUCAUGACGCGCUGGAUUUAUUUCAGGUGCAAGUCCAAGACACGCGCUUUAAGUGCAGGUGCGUGCAAGAAAGAAUCCUCUCUCUACAAGCUCUCCACGUAAAGUGAAGCCCUCAAACCCUCAUGCGAGGAAAAGCAUGUAAUGUGCAUGUUAAUGUAAAACUCAGAUGAUAAUAAUAAUAACCAUUCGUCAACUAUCGUCAUGACUAUCACCAUGAAAUCCUGCCAUUGGCGAUAUGUCUGAAAUCCUGCCAAUACUAUUGUCUAUCGGCACAACCCUACCCAUCGGCUGGACUCGGUCCCUUUUUGACCCAACGCUGGGUAAAUAAUAACCCAGCAUUUUUUAAAGUGCAGCUGUUAUGGUUGCUUGCUUUAGUAUCAUGUAUAAUUCCUCCCAGGGUCUUAAAUGUAUAUUUUUUCAACCUUGCCUAAACUGACUUUUCACAUGAUGUUUGUUAACUCAUUCCCCGCCAGCCAUUAUUGAAAAGUUGCCCACCAGCAAUUUUUUGUGAUUUUCACAAAAGUUUCACAAAAUGCCUGCAAGGAAAAUUUUCUUCAAAAAAUAUAUAAACAUACAAAUAUAUCAAAUGAAAGAACUGACCUUUGCUUUAAAAUAAACAAUUAAACAAACAAACUAAACAGGUAAAAAGUUUCAUCCUAUCUAUAUUUUUUUUUCUCUGCUUAUAAACUCUUAAAUAUGGGUAUUUUUCUUAAAAAAUAUUUUUUUUUUAGCAAAAAGCUGAAAUAAUUGCAUUUUUGUGAAGGAAUUUUGUUAGAGAUCAGAUUAUCAAAACAUACACAGAGUUUAAAAUUGGUAAAUAAAGUUUUGGCUUCAGUUUUUUCAUAAAUUGGGUAAGUGUGUCAUCUAGUAGAUAAUUGCAGUAUUGCAGAUUAACAUACAAAUCCAUCAGGAACAUUUUUAAUGCAAAUGUUUUCUCUUAAUUAACAAGAUAACUCAUCAAUGGCGGGAAAAGAGUUAAAUUAUUAUACACUGACUCUAAAGAUGCUGGGUUAUUUCCAAGCCAGUGUUGGGUCAAAAAGGGACAAACACAGCCCAUUGGGUUGUAAUUUAACCUAUGCUGCUUUGUUUCAACCCAUAAUGCUGGGUUGAUUUAACCCAUAAUGCUGGGUUGAUUUAACCCAUAAUGCUGGGUUGUUUUUAACCAUUGUUGGGUCAAAUAUAAAAAAUUUCUGGGUUAAUUUAACCCAACAGCUGGGUUUGUCCUUUUUGACUCAACACUGGCUUAAAAAUAACCCAGCAUUUUUUAGAGUGUAUGUAACAAAUAUAUUGUCUAAAUAGGUAAUAUUUAGGCCCCAGUUUAAAAUCCCAGCUAUGAUAAAUAAAUUAUGGGUUUUAUUUAUGAUCACAUAACCCCUGCAGGGUCAUGUGCUCAUAAAUGUCAAAAGAAUGUCCUUGAAGUGACCGUCAUAUGACAACCUUGUAGAAACACCCUUCGUGCCAGAAAUCUUUUGCUCACUUUCGACUGGAAUGACCCAAUGAAUAGCCUUCCCUUCUCACAGCGCCUUUCAAGGGCGCAAAAAGUCCAUUUGGAAUUCUUCCCUCCCGGGGUGCUGGACUAACAUUCUUGGUAGAUGAGAAAGGUUCAGUCCUCCCUCCCCCAUUUACACCUGCUCUUCCCUCCCUUGAGGUUGGUGCUGAGAUGUGUUGAUGUUGAGGACAUACAGCAGUCGAGCGAGAGUGCUGACAGAUGAAGAAAGCUGUCACUGAGGGGCCAUCUCAGCCGACUCAGGGGGCCCCGGGGCCUCCAUAAAGGGGUGCUUGUGGGUUCCAACUGAGGCUAAAGGUCCCAUUAGUUUGUGUGUCUUAAAUUAUAUGGGAUUUAAUGCUUCAGCCGAGAACGUCAAGGAGAGGCAAUGUUAAAAGGGCAAGGGUAAGGUUCUUGCAGUAUGUUGGGGUUUUUGAUGCAUCUGCAGGGGUCCCCUAAUGCUCUACAUCGCCCAUAUGUUUUGUCUGUUGUUCUGUCUCUUUCAAACCACAACGUUUUUCCACAGGUGUAAAGAAGCGAGAUUCAAAAACUAACCGAGAGCGAAAUCCCAGGUUUUUCCUGUGCUUCUAAACCCUUAUCUGUACCUGUAACCAAUACUAAACAUGAGUCUCUCUCUCUCCUUCUUGGGGCUAUAUACAUGUAUAAAUGCAGUGUUAUAUAUGUAUAUACCCAUCCAAACUGUUGUGUAUGUGUUUCAACCAACGUUCCAGGAGCUCUAAAGAGGCCUUCUCUUCCUCAAGAGCUUUCUCCCGUCUAACAGUAUGGAUCCUGUUUUGCUUCUCUG
Long non-coding RNA from Paramisgurnus dabryanus, 5458 nucleotides. RefSeq lists it as uncharacterized. Lineage: Eukaryota; Metazoa; Chordata; Actinopteri; Cypriniformes; Cobitidae. The record is from RefSeq and is a predicted model, not a curated record.